ACUUCUCCAAGCACAAGUGUAAGCCAAGUUGGACAAACCAUUGGCAAUUAACGAGCCCAAACAAAGAGGGCAAUGUGAGUUAAAAACUGAGAAAAAUCCACAACAGACAUCGUUACCCCCACACUGGAGUGCAUAUAAGGAAAGACUAAAAGAAAGGGAAGGAACUCGGCAAACACAAGCCUCGCCUGUUUACCAAAAACAUCGCCUCCUGACAUCCCAAUAUAGGAGGUCCAGCCUGCCCAGUGACAAUAGUUUAACGGCCGCGGUAUUUUGACCGUGCAAAGGUAGCGCAAUCACUCGUCCUUUAAGUAGGGACCUGUAUGAAUGGCCAAACGAGGGCUUAACUGUCUCCCCCAUCAAGUCAGUGAAAUUGAUCUAUCCGUGCAGAAGCGGAUAUAAUAAUACAAGACGAGAAGACCCUUUGGAGCUUAAGGU
This 435-nucleotide ribosomal RNA is filed under the name Danio rerio (zebrafish). Its description in RNAcentral is "partial 16S ribosomal RNA". It matches the Rfam family "Bacterial large subunit ribosomal RNA", at positions 1333 to 2106 of the family's 2925-position model. Lineage: Eukaryota; Metazoa; Chordata; Actinopteri; Cypriniformes; Danionidae. The record is from RNAcentral.